ACGCUCGACACCUACGGAAGGCAGCAGUGGGGAAUAUUGCACAAUGGGGGAAACCCUGAUGCAGCGACGCCGCGUGAGCGAAGAAGUGUUUCGGUAUGUAAAGCUCUAUCAGCAGGGAAGAAACUGACGGUACCUGACUAAGAAGCACCGGCUAAAUACGUGCAGCAGCCGGACGGUAAUCUGGAGGCCGGGCUGGACGAAGGC
This 204-nucleotide ribosomal RNA is filed under the name uncultured bacterium. Its description in RNAcentral is "partial 16S ribosomal RNA". It matches the Rfam family "Bacterial small subunit ribosomal RNA", at positions 326 to 538 of the family's 1533-position model. The record is from RNAcentral.